RNAcentral lists this unclassified non-coding RNA (144 nucleotides) under uncultured Ascomycota. RNAcentral describes it as "sequence contains ITS2". The record is from RNAcentral. Lineage: Eukaryota; Fungi; Ascomycota.
CACCACUCAAGCCUGGCUUGGUAAUGGGCCCCGGGGGCGACCCGGACCCGAAUGUCGCCGGCUGGACGUCUCCCAGAUCUCUGCGGUAUGCAUCAAUUCGCGGACGAGAUGGGACGGCCGGGCCGUUAAACAUAUUCAUCAAGG